GGGUCCUACGGGAGGCAGCAGUGAGGAAUAUUGGUCAAUGGGCUAAGGCCUGAACCAGCCAAGUCGCGUGAGGGAAGACGGUCCUAUGGAUUGUAAACCUCUUUUGUCGGGGAGCAACGAGGCCACGUGUGGCCGAAGUGAGAGUACCCGAAGAAAAAGCAUCGGCUAACUCCGUGCCAGCAGCCGCGGUAAUACGGAGGAUGCGAGCGUUAUCCGGAUUUAUUGGGUGUAAAGGGUGCGUAGACGGGAAAUUAAGUUAGUUGUGAAAUCCCUCGGCUUAACUGAGGAACUGCAACUAAAACUGG
RNAcentral lists this ribosomal RNA (305 nucleotides) under uncultured bacterium. Its description in RNAcentral is "bacterial SSU rRNA". It matches the Rfam family "Bacterial small subunit ribosomal RNA", at positions 334 to 636 of the family's 1533-position model. The record is from RNAcentral.